UUCAGAAUCUUGCACAAUGGGCGAAAGCCUGAUGCAGCGAUGCCGCGUGUGCGAAGAAGGUCUUCGGAUCGUAAAGCACUGUCAGAGGGGACGAUAAUGACGGUACCCUCAGAGGAAGCCACGGCUAAUUACGUGCCAGCAGCCGCGGUAAUACGUAAGUGGCGAGCGUUAUCCGGAAUCACUGGGCGUAAAGCGUUCGUAGGCGGUGCGGAAAGUCGGAAUUGAAAUCCCGGGGCUCAACUCCGGACCCGGUUCCGAAACUUCCGUGCUUGAGCGUAUCAGAGGGCAGCGGAAUUCCCGGUGUAGCGGUAAUAUGCGUAGAUAUCGGGAGGAACACCAGUGGCGAAGGCGGCUGCCUGGGGUAUUGCUGACGCUGAGGAACGAAAGCCAGGGGAGCGAACGGG
This 404-nucleotide ribosomal RNA is filed under the name uncultured bacterium. RNAcentral describes it as "bacterial SSU rRNA". It matches the Rfam family "Bacterial small subunit ribosomal RNA", at positions 355 to 776 of the family's 1533-position model. The record is from RNAcentral.